AGCUCUGUUGUAAGGGAAGAAAAAAUAAAGUAGGAAAUGACUUUAUCUUGACAGUACCUUACCAGAAAGCCACGGCUAACUAUGUGCCAGCAGCCGCGGUAAUACAUAGGUGGCAAGCGUUAUCCGGAUUUAUUGGGCGUAUAGGGUGCGUAGGUGGUUGUGCAAGUCUGAGGUCAAAGUCUGGAGCUCAACUCCGGUUCGCCUUGAAAACUGUACUACUAGAAUGCAAGAGAGGUAAGUGGAAUUCCAUGUGUAGCGGUGAAAUGCGUAGAUAUAUGGAAGAACACCUGUGGCGAAAGCGGCAUACCAGCUUGUUAUUGACACUGAGGCACGAAAGCGUGGGGAGCAAAUAGGAUUAGAUACCCUAGUAGUCCACGCCGUAAACGAUGAGUACUAAGUGUUGGGGUAACUCGGCGCUGCAGCUAACGCAUUAAGUACUCCGCCUGAGUAGUAUGCUCGCAAGAGUGAAACUCAAAGGAAUUGACGGAGGACCCGCACAAGUGGUGGAGCAUGUGGUUU
Molecule: ribosomal RNA, 519 nt
Filed under: Mycoplasma mycoides subsp. capri
Lineage: Bacteria; Bacillati; Mycoplasmatota; Mollicutes; Mycoplasmatales; Mycoplasmataceae
Description: bacterial SSU rRNA
Rfam family: Bacterial small subunit ribosomal RNA
Source: RNAcentral